Molecule: long non-coding RNA, 826 nt
Organism: Glycine soja
Lineage: Eukaryota; Viridiplantae; Streptophyta; Magnoliopsida; Fabales; Fabaceae
Exons: 3
Source: RefSeq, a predicted model, not a curated record
AGAUAAAAAAUGAAAUCAAUAAUUAAAGCUACCAUAAUGAACAGCCCAAGGAAUAAAUAGAAUAAGAAAAUGUGAGAAAAGAAAAGAAGCAAAAGAACAAGGACAGAAUUUAUAUUGGGAUGCAAAUCAAAAGACGAAAACGCGUAAAAGGCUCUUUCUAGUUCAGAUCUCAACUAGGCCACAAUUUUCAGUCAGUGCCACUGCAUCCGAUACUGUUUCCCUCAUCAUCUUGAGAGCAAUUUUGCUUGUUCCUGUCUCGAACCUAUCACCAAAAGUUUAAGAAAAUGGAUCAACAAGUUGAGAGGCAGAAGCGUGGCAAGGAGAUGAAGAGGAAGUGUAGUAAAGUGAACAAGCGCAACAAGUUAAUGACAUGUUGUCGCUGUCCCUGUCGUGCAGCAUCGUGCAUGUUCCGAGGUAUUGGGAGGUGCAUGUUUGUCACAUGUUACCCUGUUGUGCAGUGCUUGGGCUUGGAUGAACAUAGGCAUCGCCACCAUCAUCACCAUGGCAAGCACUUUGAUUGGUGACACCAACCUAAACGGGAUUUAGAAGGAUGAAUAAAUGGUUCUCAGUUUUCACUUUGGUUCUUUUAUAUUUCCUCUGAUGAUAUAGUAAUAAUACUAGUAGAUAGCUUUACAUCAUUCUUUACAUUAUGGAUAAAAAAAUUGGAAUUUUGGAAGAAUUGUUCUAAGGUGUUAUUGUUCUCCAAUUUCCAAUUCCAGCCAUUUCUUUUGGUUAUAGAACAUUGUAAACAAAGUAUUCAUGGAUGUUGGAUGUAAACGCAAUGAUUCUGCAUUUUGGCAACGGGAAAAGUCUGUGUUAACCACCA